This 576-nucleotide ribosomal RNA is filed under the name Hanseniaspora opuntiae. Its description in RNAcentral is "eukaryotic LSU rRNA". It matches the Rfam family "Eukaryotic large subunit ribosomal RNA", at positions 62 to 652 of the family's 3401-position model. Lineage: Eukaryota; Fungi; Ascomycota; Saccharomycetes; Saccharomycodales; Saccharomycodaceae. The record is from RNAcentral.
AAACCAACUGGGAUUACCUUAGUAACGGCGAGUGAAGCGGUAAGCUCAAAUUUGAAAUCUGGUACUUUCAGUGCCCGAGUUGUAAUUUGUAGAAUUUGUCUUUGAUUAGGUCCUUGUCUAUGUUCCUUGGAACAGGACGUCAUAGAGGGUGAGAAUCCCGUUUGGCGAGGAUACCUUUUCUCUGUAAGACUUUUUCGAAGAGUCGAGUUGUUUGGGAAUGCAGCUCAAAGUGGGUGGUAAAUUCCAUCUAAAGCUAAAUAUUGGCGAGAGACCGAUAGCGAACAAGUACAGUGAUGGAAAGAUGAAAAGAACUUUGAAAAGAGAGUGAAAAAGUACGUGAAAUUGUUGAAAGGGAAGGGCAUUUGAUCAGACAUGGUGUUUUUUGCAUGCACUCGCCUCUCGUGGGCUUGGGCCUCUCAAAAAUUUCACUGGGCCAACAUCAAUUCUGGCAGUAGGAUAAAUCAUUAAGAAUGUAGCUACCUCGGUAGUGUUAUAGCUUAUUGGGAAUACUGCUAGCUGGGAUUGAGGACUGCGCCUUCGGCAAGGAUGUUGGCAUAAUGGUUAAAUGCCGCCCGU